Molecule: long non-coding RNA, 584 nt
Organism: Dreissena polymorpha
Lineage: Eukaryota; Metazoa; Mollusca; Bivalvia; Myida; Dreissenidae
Exons: 3
Source: RefSeq, a predicted model, not a curated record
UAUUGCUUCGCUCAUGUCGGUCGGUCGGUCUGUCGGUCGGUCCGUCCACCAGGUUGUUGUCAGACGAUAACUCAAGAACGCUUGGGCCUAGGAUCAUGAAACUUCAUAGGUACAUUGAUCAUGACUCGCAGAUGACCCCUAUUGAUUUUGAGGUCACUAGGUCAAAGGUCAAGGUCACAGUGACCCGAAAUAGUAAAAUGGUUUUUGAAUGAUAACUCAAGAACGCAUACGCCUAGGAUCAUGAAACUUCAUGGGUAGAUUGAUCAUGACUCGCAGAUGACCCCUAUUGAUUUUGAGGUCACUAGGUCAAAGGUCAAGGUCACGGUGACCCGAAAUAGUAAAAUGGUUUUCGGAUGAUAACUCAAGAACGCAUAUGCCUAGGAUCAUGAAACUUCACAGGUAGAUUGAUCAUGACUCGCAGAUGACCCCUAUUGAUUUUGAGGUCACUAGGUCAAAGGUCAAGGUCACAGUGACAAAAAACGUAUUCACACAAUGGCUGCCACUACAACGGACAGCCCAUAUGGGGGGCAUGCAUGUUUUACAAACAGCCCUUGUUUUAUGAAUACUUUUGCAAUAUUGAAGUU